This 253-nucleotide ribosomal RNA is filed under the name uncultured bacterium. RNAcentral's name for it is "partial 16S ribosomal RNA". It matches the Rfam family "Bacterial small subunit ribosomal RNA", at positions 524 to 776 of the family's 1533-position model. The record is from RNAcentral.
UACGUAGGGUGCGAGCGUUAAUCGGAAUUACUGGGCGUAAAGCGUGCGCAGGCGGUUUUGUAAGCCGGAUGUGAAAUCCCCGGGCUUAACCUGGGAAUGGCAUUCGGGACUGCAAGGCUGGAGUGCGGCAGAGGAGACUGGAAUUCCUGGUGUAGCAGUGAAAUGCGUAGAUAUCACGAGGAACACCGAUGGCGAAGGCAGGUCUCUGGGCUGACACUGACGCUCAUGCACGAAAGCGUGGGGAGCAAACAGG